RNAcentral lists this ribosomal RNA (614 nucleotides) under Aspergillus terreus. Its description in RNAcentral is "eukaryotic LSU rRNA". It matches the Rfam family "Eukaryotic large subunit ribosomal RNA", at positions 38 to 667 of the family's 3401-position model. The record is from RNAcentral. RNAcentral also lists the same sequence under 1 other name. Lineage: Eukaryota; Fungi; Ascomycota; Eurotiomycetes; Eurotiales; Aspergillaceae.
GCAUAUCAAUAAGCGGAGGAAAAGAAACCAACCGGGAUUGCCUCAGUAACGGCGAGUGAAGCGGCAAGAGCUCAAAUUUGAAAGCUGGCUCCUUCGGGGUCCGCAUUGUAAUUUGCAGAGGAUGCUUCGGGUGCAGCCCCCGUCUAAGUGCCCUGGAACGGGCCGUCAUAGAGGGUGAGAAUCCCGUAUGGGGCGGGGUGUCUGCGUCCGUGUGAAGCUCCUUCGACGAGUCGAGUUGUUUGGGAAUGCAGCUCUAAAUGGGUGGUAAAUUUCAUCUAAAGCUAAAUACUGGCCGGAGACCGAUAGCGCACAAGUAGAGUGAUCGAAAGAUGAAAAGCACUUUGAAAAGAGAGUUAAACAGCACGUGAAAUUGUUGAAAGGGAAGCGCUUGCAACCAGACUCGCUCGCGGGGUUCAGCCGGGCUUCGGCCCGGUGUACUUCCCCGCGGGCGGGCCAGCGUCGGUUUGGGCGGCCGGUCAAAGGCCUCCGGAAUGUAGCGCCCUUCGGGGCGCCUUAUAGCCGGGGGUGCAAUGCGGCCAGCCUGGACCGAGGAACGCGCUUCGGCACGGACGCUGGCAUAAUGGUUGUAAACGACCCGUCUUGAAACACGGACC